UCAACAUGCUGUCACUGCAGCAUUGUGUGUUUUCUCUGAUGUUCCUUUCCAUCCUCACAGGUGUCAGCUGUGAAGAUCUCACUCCAGUAGAGAAAGAAGAGAACAGUUUAGAAGGCAGCUCUGUUACUCUGUCCUACAGAUACUUGGAGUUGUCAUCUGGUGAUUAUUUCUUCUGGUACCGACAAUAUCCAGGAAAACCACCAGAGUUCAUCAUCUCCCACUCUGCUUCAGGACAAUUGUUUUUUGGAGGAGAAGUAAAUAAUGUAAUCCCUGGACUGAAGAUUAAAGUGGAGGACAAACAAAUCCACAUGAACAUCUCCUCAGCUAAGGUGUCUGACUCUGCUGUGUACUACUGUGCUGUGAGGCCCACAGUGACAGGAAACACCAAAACUCUGUCCAAAAACCUUUGGAGCAAAGACAACACAAUACUCCACAACAUCCACUAGAGGGAGUCACAGACUGUUAAAC
Molecule: non-coding RNA, 468 nt
Organism: Sander lucioperca (pikeperch)
Lineage: Eukaryota; Metazoa; Chordata; Actinopteri; Perciformes; Percidae
Source: the annotation of a RefSeq genome assembly